UAUAUGGAGAGUUUGAUCCUGGCUCAGGAUUAACGCUAGCGAUGUGCCUAAGAUAUGCAAGUCGAACGCCCCGCAAGGGGAGUGGCAGACGGCUGAGCAACACGUAGGAAUCAACCCCAAACUUGAGUAUAGCUCGUCGAAAGACGGGGUAAUUCUCAAUGGUCUCGUAAGAGUAAAGCUCCGGCGGUUUGGGACGAGCCUGCGGCCUAUCAGGUAGUUGGUGGGGUAAAAGCCUACCAAGCCUAUGACGGGUAGCUGAUCUGAGAGGAUGGUCAGCCAGACUGGGACUGUGACACGGCCCAGACUCCUACGGGAGGCAGCAAUUAGGAAUCGUGCGCAAUGGACGCAAGUCUGACGCCGCGACGUCGCGUGAGGGAUGAAGGUCUUAGGAUCGUAAACCUCUUUUAUCUGGGAACAAGUUCUGAGUGUACCAGAUGAAUAAGUACCUGCCAACCACGUGCCAGAAGCAUCGGUAAUACGUGGGGUACGAGCGUUAUCCGGAUUUACUGGGCGUAAAGAGAAGCGUAGGCGUCCCAAUAAGUUCUAGGUUAAAGCCCAAUGCUCAACAUUGGAAUCGCCUAGGAAACUAUUGGGAUUGAGAUAGACAGGGGAGAGGAGAAUUCCUGGUGGAGCGGUUAAAUGCGUAGAUAUCAGGAGGAAUACCAAUGGCGAAAGCACCUCUCUGGGUCUCAUCUGACGCUAAGGCUCGAAAGCGUGGGGAGCAAAACGGAUUAGAUACCCGUGUAGUCCACGCCGUAAACGAUCCCUGCUAGGUGUCUGUCUUGUGAAUAUUUUCCUUCGGGAAAAUUUUUAACAAGGUGGGUGCCACAGCUAACGCAUUAAGCAGGGCGCCUGAGGAGUACGGCCGCAAGGCUAAAACUUAAAGGAAUUGACGGGGACCCGCACAAGCAGUGGAGCGCCUGGUUUAAUUCGAUGCUAAGCGAAAAACCUCACCUAGGCUUGAACUGUAGCUGCAACCCCUCCGAAAAGAGGGGCCCCUUCGAGGGUGCUACAGAGGUGCUGCAUGGCUGUCGUCAGCUCGUGUCGUGAGAUGUAGGGUUAAGUCCCACAACGAGCGCAACCCCUACCCAGUGUUAUAUAUUUCUCUGGGGACUGCCCUGCCAAAACGGGGAGGAAGGAGGGGACGACGUCCAGUCAUCAUGUCCCUUAUGUCUAGGGCUACACAGACGCUACAAUGGUCAUUACAAUGGGCUGCCAAACCGCGAGGUGGAGCCAAUCCCAUCAAAAGUGACCUCAGUUCAGAUUGCAGUCUGCAACUCGACUGCAUGAAGUUGGAAUUGCUAGUAAUCGCGCAUCAGCAUGGCGCGGUGAAUACGUUCUCGGGUCUUGUACACACCGCCUGUCAGGGCACGGAAGUUGCUUUGGCUCGAAGUCCCCGAUUUAUCGGGGCCGAAAGUCAGGGUAGCGACCAGGCUUAAGUCAUAACAAGGUAGCCGUAGGGGAAUCUGCGGCUGGAUUACCUCCUUU
RNAcentral lists this ribosomal RNA (1488 nucleotides) under Candidatus Doudnaibacteriota bacterium. Its description in RNAcentral is "Candidatus Doudnabacteria bacterium bacterial SSU rRNA". It matches the Rfam family "Bacterial small subunit ribosomal RNA". The record is from RNAcentral. Lineage: Bacteria; Candidatus Doudnaibacteriota.